This 388-nucleotide unclassified non-coding RNA is filed under the name Hevea brasiliensis (rubber tree). The record is from RNAcentral. Lineage: Eukaryota; Viridiplantae; Streptophyta; Magnoliopsida; Malpighiales; Euphorbiaceae.
GAAGAAAUUAAAAGAAAAGAAAUACUAGCAGGGAGUAGUAGUAAUGGAUUGAAGAGUAUGUUUAGCAUUUUUGACGGUGAGUUACUUGGUUUUCAAAUUGAAUUGAUAUUUGAUGAUAUACCAAAAGAAGCAAAUAAUGCGCAAUCAGUAUACAAAGAAAAAGACACAUUCUCUAACAUGUUAACUAGCUCCUCCAAUAUGCUGGCUCUUCCAAAAUGUUGUGGUGAGGACGCUUACGGCAGUUGGAAAGGGGUGAAUAAUGCAAAGGAUAAUCAGCUCUACAAGUUGGACAUGUGUUAUGCAUUGAUAGCCAUUUUAUCAUACAGUGAAUAUGAAAUUCAUGCAAACAAUUAGUUGUUAUCACCUCAUUCUCGUCUUUGAAAUAUUC